UACUAUAAAUGACAAUUAAAUUAUAUACAUAUCUCACACAUUUCAUAUAAGGUUGUAUCAAACAUGCAAGAGCCAUAAAACAACUUUCAAAGUAUGCAAUAACACUUAAAUACUUCACACAUAUUUAGUGCCUUGAGAAUCACAUAAUACCCUAUAAUAUUAUGCUAUUUCUAGUCGAAUUAUUAAUCACACAUUGUUGUAACCCUACAGCUCUUCUAGAAAUAUUUGGGGUAGUGUCUCGCCCAAUCGAGCAUGGCAUCCGAACCCCCAUCGCGCAUCCUUUUAGGCAUCAUUCCAUAAUCAUACCCGCAAACAUCUUCCAAAAUCCUUCGAGCAUCACCCCUCCAAUGUCUCUCAAUGGCGGCAUCAUCCUCCGAAAUCUUCGGAGAUGGAAUCCCUCGUAUGACCAUACGAAUUAAACAUACAACCGGUUUUAUCUUCCACUUUAGUCCAAAGUAUGAGUGUUCCCAAGGGCAUGCCAAGCAAUGUGUAAUUCAUGACCUGUUGGAAAUGCAUCAAUAAAGUAUGACAAGCACAAAACAAGAAUCAUUGCUUGACUUGUUACAUUCGAGCACCAGCCUAAGACAAACUUGGAUCAGACAAUACAACUUAAUAUCACUGAACAAAGAGAGUGACCUGGCCCGGCAUACUUACGCACGUCCAAGAACCAACGCCAUUCUAGCUUUGGAGGCUUGGUGUGGUUUCAAGCAUUGACCAUGACCUAUGGACGUCUAUAUGCAAACACCGCAUCCAUAUUGCAUUAACAAUCCUUUACAAUCAGAUAUAGUAGUAACACACAUUGAGAAUUCAACCAACAAUAGUCAUAAUCUACAUCACGUAACACUUAUACAUUCAACCAUAACAAUCAAACAUUAAGACUAAGCCUAGGUAUCGAUAAUGAACAGUCCACAAGCAAUAAUUAUGGCAAUCUUUUUAGCACAUGCAAUCAAAUCUAAAUAGACCAUUCUACCAAUCAAGCCAAUAUGAACAAUCUCGAUGAUCACAUAUCACUCCUCGUUUAUUCCCGAACCUUAUAGUAAAAGCAUAGCAUGAACAAAUUAUACAAAAUUAUUCACAUGAGCUCUUCUACUUAGGAUAGCUCUAAUAACACUAGGACCGAACCUAAGCCAAGUUACAUAACACAACAACCUAGCCGACAUUCAUGAAAUUUACUUACGAACAAACGAGAUGUGAGACAUAGAUGGCGGGUGGACAAGGGCUCAAGGUUCAUAACCUGGCGGCAGCAUGAGGACAGUGAACAACAAGACGGCAAGUAGACAAUGAUAGCAAUGACAUCACGGUAGCAGCAAUGGUGCAACAACAGCGGGUGAAUGAACGGGUGAUGUCACGACCCCAACUCCAUUCCCAGGGUCACAACUAGCAAGGGUUAUUUUUGCAACAUCCCAGGCAUAUCGCCAUCUCAUUUCUUUUUAUCAUUUCAUUAAGUACAUGCGAAAGUGUACAUACAACACCAAGACAAAAACAAGCAGCUAGGAAAACAACCAUUUACAAACACACAAUUACAUUAGCUACGUUUACAAGACCUUCUAUCACAGGCCGUUAUAUUUACAACUACCACAUCUUCAAAAGGUCAGGGUAAACCUUAGCUCCUCUAGAAAGAUUGCAACUCCCAAAAUUGACGUGAGACUUCCAUGCCUACAAGACUGAAAGGAUGAGGGGUGAGUUUUGGGGAAACUCAAUAAGUAAAACCUGCUAAUUUCCGGGUAGGAGGAUGUCUCGCCUAUCAACAAGCAUAUAACGCAUCCAAGACAUUAGUCGAUAGCAGAUCAAUAGCAAAAUAAAAGCUUUAUCUCGGAUGAAACAUGAGAAAUCCUCAGUCAACAAUAUGCAAGCAUAACUCGAUAUUGACCCACAACAUGAGGAACUCACACCUCACUCAAUAUUAAACCAGGAUAAUUAAAAUCAAUUCUAAUACGAGGAAUGCACGCCUCACUCAUAUGCAAGCAUUUAUUGAUUAACAGUUGAAAUCCAUCAACUCUUCCAGAAUCCACCGAGCAUCCGAACUUAAUUGGGCAACGUCCCCUAAUCGAAGGUUGACGGCUAGAAUUAUCACAACAUCCCGUUCUUAUUAACGAGGCAUCCCGUUGGCAUGGGGGCAUCCUGUUGGCGAGGGGGCAUCGUCGCCGAAUUCAUUGGUCGACGGCAUAAAUUAGUCUAUCGUAUGUCCAUGCAUCAAGCAUCGCAAUCCGAUUCUUAUCUUUGCUUUAAGUUCAAGGGCCCGAAGGCAUACCAUGCGUAAAUGUGUGAAACGAUUUACCAGAACCAAGACGUUGAACAUGCCGAGCACGAAUUAAGGAUCGGGGCUCAAUCCGACACGUUUGAGCACCGAUCUAGUACCUAACUUGGCUCGGGAACGAAAUACCUUGAUAUCGUGCCAGAACCAUGAAAGGACUAAUCCAACGUGAUCUCACAUACGUUCAAGGCCAACGAAACUCCUUUUCGAAGCUCGGGAUGUGAACUAGAACAUGCAUUUGUGAAAACGGUUGGAAAUAGUUUUAUAAGGAAAUACCAAGCUUUCACAAAAAUGAUUUUCAAAUAGGUUUGUAUCAAAGCAAAAAUCAAAGCAUAUCCAAUAAACACAUGAAUUGGCUUCUUCCAAAGCAACUCAAACCAAAGCACAAGCCAAAACUCAUCAAACUAAAAUCAAACUCAAUCAAGAAACAAGGUCUAAACUGAUCCAAGCAAACACAACUGACGCUCAAGCAAGAACAUAGUCACAACGUUUCAAUCAAGGACUCACUACACGCUUGGAUGAGCGUAACACAACACCCUAACCAUAUAUUAGUAAGUUGUACUUACAACUUUCUAGAUCGGCGGCCUUAAGUGGCAGCGAACGGCGGCAAGGACACCUAAAGAGAGAGCCGAGGAGAGAAAGAUGGAGGGGUUGGUGCGGGCGGCCAAGGAAGAAGAAGAGAGGAAGAGAAAUUUG
This 2950-nucleotide long non-coding RNA is filed under the name Eucalyptus grandis. RNAcentral's name for it is "long non-coding RNA (EGRA_LNC002308)". Lineage: Eukaryota; Viridiplantae; Streptophyta; Magnoliopsida; Myrtales; Myrtaceae. The record is from RNAcentral.